CCUACGGGGGGCAGCAGUAGGGAAUAUUGCUCAAUGGGGGAAACCCUGAAGCAGCAACGCCGCGUGGAGGAUGAAGGUUUUCGGAUUGUAAACUCCUUUUGUUAGAGAAGAUAAUGACGGUAUCUAACGAAUAAGCACCGGCUAACUCCGUGCCAGCAGCCGCGGGAAUACGGAGGGUGCAAGCGUUACUCGGAAUCACUGGGCGUAAAGAGCGCGUAGGCGGGAUAGCAAGUCAGAUGUGAAAUCCUAUGGCUUAACCAUAGAACUGCAUUUGAAACUGGUAUUCUAGAGUAUGGGAGAGGUAGGUGGAAUUCUAGGUGUAGGGGUAAAAUCCGUAGAGAUCAAGAGGAAUACUCAUUGCGAAGGCGACCUGCUAGAACAUAACUGACGCUGAUGCGCGAAAGCGUGGGGAGCAAACAGGAUUAGAUACCCGAGUAGUC
RNAcentral lists this ribosomal RNA (440 nucleotides) under uncultured bacterium. RNAcentral's name for it is "partial 16S ribosomal RNA". It matches the Rfam family "Bacterial small subunit ribosomal RNA", at positions 338 to 795 of the family's 1533-position model. The record is from RNAcentral.